This is a small nuclear RNA of Rattus rattus (black rat), 108 nucleotides long. The record is from RefSeq and is a predicted model, not a curated record. NCBI's taxonomy places the organism in Eukaryota, Metazoa, Chordata, Mammalia, Rodentia, Muridae.
CUAGCUUUGGCCCCAGGUAAGCUAACACUGGAAGGAUACAGAGAUUAUUAGCAUGGUCCCUGCAAAAGGAUGGAUGACACGCAAAUUUGAGAAGCAUUCCUUUUUUCU